CAAUCAAACCGGGAGAUAGCUGGUUCUCCCCGAAAGCUAUUUAGGUAGCGCCUCGUGAAUUCAUCUCCGGGGGUAGAGCACUGUUUCGGCUAGGGGGCCAUCCCGGCUUACCAACCCGAUGCAAACUGCGAAUACCGGAGAAUGUUAUCACGGGAGACACACGGCGGGUGCUAACGUCCGUCGUGAAGAGGGAAACAACCCAGACCGCCAGCUAAGGUCCCAAAGUCAUGGUUAAGUGGGAAACGAUGUGGGAAGGCCCAGACAGCCAGGAUGUUGGCUUAGAAGCAGCCAUCAUUUAAAGAAAGCGUAAUAGCUCACUGGUCGAGUCGGCCUGCGCGGAAGAUGUAACGGGGCUAAACCAUGCACCGAAGCUGCGGCAGCGAACGUAUCACCCAAGACAACUUUACGGAGUUGACGAUUGACGGAGCGAAGCGACGUCAAAGCGUUCAUUAAAGUCGAGUUGGCUUAGGGAUACGUUCGUUGGGUAGGGGAGCGUUCUGUAAGCCUGUGAAGGUGUGUCGUGAGGCAUGCUGGAGGUAUCAGAAGUGCGAAUGCUGACAUAAGUAACGAUAAAGCGGGUGAAAAGCCCGCUCGCCGGAAGACCAAGGGUUCCUGUCCAACGUUAAUCGGGGCAGGGUGAGUCGACCCCUAAGGCGAGGCCGAAAGGCGUAGUCGAUGGGAAACGGGUUAAUAUUCCCGUACUUGGUGUUACUGCGAAGGGGGGACGGAGAAGGCUAUGUUGGCCGGGCGACGGUUGUCCCGGUUUAAGCGUGUAGGUGUGUGUUCCAGGUAAAUCCGGUUCACUUUAACACUGAGGCGUGA
This 822-nucleotide ribosomal RNA is filed under the name Salmonella enterica. RNAcentral describes it as "partial 23S ribosomal RNA". It matches the Rfam family "Bacterial large subunit ribosomal RNA", at positions 830 to 1566 of the family's 2925-position model. RNAcentral also lists the same sequence under 1 other name. Lineage: Bacteria; Pseudomonadati; Pseudomonadota; Gammaproteobacteria; Enterobacterales; Enterobacteriaceae. The record is from RNAcentral.